RNAcentral lists this ribosomal RNA (442 nucleotides) under uncultured bacterium. RNAcentral's name for it is "partial 16S ribosomal RNA". It matches the Rfam family "Bacterial small subunit ribosomal RNA", at positions 338 to 795 of the family's 1533-position model. The record is from RNAcentral.
CCUACGGGGGACAGCAGUGGGGAAUAUUGGGCAAUGGGCGCUAGCCUGACCCAGCAACGUCGCGUGAAGGAUGAAUGCCCUCUGGUUGUUAACCUUCUUUUAUAGGGAAGUGUAGUGCAGUAUAUCUGCUGCUUUACAUAUGGCUAAUUACGAGCCAUCAGCUGAGGUCAUACGUAGGUGGCGAGCGUUGUCCGGAUUUACUGGGUGUAACGGGUGUGUAGCCGGGUGGAUAAGUCAGAUGUGAAAUCCUGCGGCUUAACCGUAGAAGUGCAGUUGAAACUGGUAUUCUUGAGUACAGUAGAGGCAGGCGGAAUUCGUGGUGUAGCGGUGAAAUGCUUAGAUAUUACGAAGAACUCCGAUGGCGAAGGCAGUCUGCUGGACUGCAACUGACGGUGAGGCGCGAAAGCGUGGGGAGCAAACAGGAUUAGAUACCCGAGUAGUC